GACAGAGGGUGCAAACGUUGUUCGGAUUUACUGGGCGUAAAGCGCGUGUAGGCGGCUUCGCAAGUUGGAUGUGAAAGCCCACGGCUCAACCGUGGAGGGUCAUUGGAAACUGGGGGACUUGAGUGCAGGAGAGAAGAGUGGAAUUCCACGUGUAGCGGUGAAAUGCGUAGAGAUGUGGAGGAAUACCGAUGGCGAAGGCAGCCUCCUGGGCCAACACUGACGCUCAUGCACGAAAGCGUGGGGAGCAAACAGG
This 253-nucleotide ribosomal RNA is filed under the name uncultured bacterium. RNAcentral's name for it is "partial 16S ribosomal RNA". It matches the Rfam family "Bacterial small subunit ribosomal RNA", at positions 524 to 776 of the family's 1533-position model. The record is from RNAcentral.